Molecule: ribosomal RNA, 415 nt
Filed under: uncultured bacterium
Lineage: Bacteria
Description: bacterial SSU rRNA
Rfam family: Bacterial small subunit ribosomal RNA
Source: RNAcentral
UGGGGAUAUUGCACAAUGGGGGAAACCCGUAGCUGCAGCGACGCCGCGUGAAGGAAGAAGGCCUUCGGGUUGUAAACUUCUGUCGUACGGGACGAUAAUGACGGUACCGUACAAGAAAGCCACGGCUAACUACGUGCCAGCAGCCGCGGUAAAACGUAGGUGGCAAGCGUUGUCCGGAAUUACUGGGUGUAAAGGGAGCGCAGGCGGACUAGCAAGUUGGAAGUGAAAUCUAUGGGCUUAACUCAUAAACUGCAUUUGAAACUGUAUCUCUUGAGUGCUGGAGAGGUAGACGGAAUUCCUUGUGUAGCGGUGAAAUGCGUAGAUAUAAGGAAGAACACCAGUGGCGAAGGCGGUCUACUGGACAGUAACUGACGUUGAGGCGCGAAAGCGUGGGGAGCAAACAGGAUUAGAUACC